ACGGCUCAGUAACACGUGGACAACCUACCCUUGGGUCUGGCAUAAUCCUGGGAAACUGGGUAUAAUUCCAGAUAGGUCACAGAUGCUGGAAUGCACUGUGGCCGAAAGCUCCGGCGCCCAAGGAUGGGUCUGCGGCCUAUCAGGGUUGUAGUGGGUGUAACGGACCUACUAGCCUACGACGGGUACGGGUUGUGAGAGCAAGAGCCCGGAGAUGGAUUCUGAGACACGAAUCCAGGCCCUACGGGGUGCAGCAGGCGCGAAAACUUUACAAUGCGGGAAACCGUGAUAAGGGAAUCUCGAGUGCCAGCAUAUAAUGUUGGCUGUCCAGAUGCCUAAAAAGCAUCUGUUAGCAAGGGCCGGGCAAGACCGGUGCCAGCCGCCGCGGUAACACCGGCGGCCCGAGUGGUAACCGCUUUUAUUGGGUCUAAAGGGUCUGUAGCCGGCCAAGUAAGUCCCUUGGGAAAUCUGGCAGCUUAACUGUCAGGCUGCUAGGGGAUACUGCUAGGCUUGGGACCGGGAGAGGUGAGAGGUACUCCAGGGGUAGGAGUGAAAUCCUGUAAUCCUUGGGGGACCACCUGUGGCGAAGGCGUCUCACUAGAACGGCUCCGACAGUGAGGGACGAAAGCUGGGGGAGCAAACCGGAUUAGAUACCCGGGUAGUCCCAGCUGUAAACGAUGCGCGUUAGGUGUAUCGGUGACCACGAGUCACCGAGGUGCUGAAGGGAAACCGUGAAACGUGCCGCCUGGGAAGUACAGUCGCAAGGCUGAAACUUAAAGGAAUUGGCGGGGGAGCAC
RNAcentral lists this ribosomal RNA (794 nucleotides) under uncultured Methanosaeta sp. Its description in RNAcentral is "bacterial SSU rRNA". It matches the Rfam family "Archaeal small subunit ribosomal RNA", at positions 85 to 879 of the family's 1478-position model. Lineage: Archaea; Methanobacteriati; Methanobacteriota; Methanomicrobia; Methanotrichales; Methanotrichaceae. The record is from RNAcentral.